UUCCUCCCUGCCCGAGGCCCAUACAAGGCGCUUCCUUCCCGGCCGUCUGGCCGGCGGCCCGCGGGCGGCUGUGGGCGGGAGCCGGCGGCCGGGGACCCGCUGCCAAGGAGGGGGCGGCCGGCGGCGCUGGGAACGCGCCUGGCUGAGGAACCGGCAAGUCCUAACAGGCCCUCCCUGCAGCACUUCCAGGGACUUAAACCUGGCCCAGCCAUGUGGUUACCCUGAUCUAUCUGCCUGGAGAUGAGCAAAGGUCAGAGAGAGGGACCAGACCUCAGCAGACCACACCACCAGCAACUCCCGAACCCCCACCCCCCAGCUCUUCCAGAAGUGCAACACCUCAGCAUACAGGCUGUCUGCUGGACCAACCGAGAGAGAGAGAGAGGCAGAGACACAGGCAGAGGGAGAAGCAGGCUCCAUGCACCGGGAGCCCGACGUGGGAUUCAAUCCCGGGUCUCCAGGAUCGCGCCCUGGGCCAAAGGCAGGUGCCAAACCGCUGCGCCACCCAGGGAUCCCCAUGGCUUAUAUGUCUUGAUGAACAGUGUUCUACUUGGAUGUUAAGUGUUUCAGGACUGAGCCCCACCGUCUCUUCUCAAAUGUGAAACAAAUUUCAAAAAUCUAAAUCGUUAUCCUCCUGCCUAACACACCUGAAUGGCUUUUCAUAAUAUUCAGAAUAAAAUUUCAAGUUCUCAGCAA
Molecule: long non-coding RNA, 693 nt
Organism: Canis lupus familiaris (dog)
Lineage: Eukaryota; Metazoa; Chordata; Mammalia; Carnivora; Canidae
Exons: 3
Source: RefSeq, a predicted model, not a curated record